UUAUAAUUGAUCGAUUAGUGUCCAAGACAAGAAGGAGGGUUCGAAUGUGGCUACUUUGUUAUGAGAUUCAUUAAAGAGAUAAUUUUUUAUCCUACAAUUAUUGCUUCAAAGUUUGGUAAUAAAAAAAACAUAUUCUCAAGUAGAAUUCGAUGAAAUUAGAGGAGAAUGGGCUACUUUUGUGCUACAACUAAUCAUGAAUCAUGUUGAUGCAUCAUGAUCACCAUGCAUGGUAUACACUCUUGGGAGGGUGAAAUGGAGAAUAAAAAGAAAGAAGAAGGCAACAAGAUUUUGGGUUUUUAAAUGCAACUCUUAUGUCAUACGUUGUAGGACAUAAACGUUACUUUAAUUGCAACUGAGAAAUUUAGAUUUUUAGAUGGGACUUCUAUGUCAUUUUAUGGUUAGCCGGUUUUAUGCUUAUGAAAUGGAGGUAUACAUGAAUCUUGGGAUCUUUAA
Vitis vinifera (wine grape) is the source of this 453-nucleotide long non-coding RNA. RefSeq lists it as uncharacterized. The transcript is spliced from 3 exons. Lineage: Eukaryota; Viridiplantae; Streptophyta; Magnoliopsida; Vitales; Vitaceae. The record is from RefSeq and is a predicted model, not a curated record.